Molecule: ribosomal RNA, 444 nt
Filed under: uncultured Planctomycetales bacterium
Lineage: Bacteria; Pseudomonadati; Planctomycetota; Planctomycetia; Planctomycetales
Description: bacterial SSU rRNA
Rfam family: Bacterial small subunit ribosomal RNA
Source: RNAcentral
CGGCGUGGAUUAGGCAUGCAAGUCGAGCGAGAAAUUUACUUCGGUAAAUGGACAGCGGCGAAAGGGACAGUAAUGUGUAGGUACCUACCCUCUGAUCUGGGAUAGCUGCGGGAAACUGCAGGUAAUACCGGAUAAUGUCUUCGGACCAAAGGUGUGAUUCCGUCUGAGGAGGGGCCUGCAUCCUAUUAGCUUGUUGGUGAGGUAAUAGCUCACCAAGGCAACGAUGGGUAGCGGGUGUGAGAGCAUGACCCGCGUCAUUGGGACUGAGACACUGCCCAGACAUCUACGGAUGGCUGCAGUCGAGAAUCUUCGGCAAUGGGCGAAAGCCUGACCGAGCGACGCCGCGUGCGGGAUGAAGGCCCUCGGGUUGUAAACCGCUGUCGUUGGGGAGGAAAUGCAAGAGGGCUAUCCCUUUUGUUUGACCGAUCCAAGGAGGAAGUACGG